Molecule: ribosomal RNA, 1370 nt
Filed under: uncultured bacterium
Lineage: Bacteria
Description: bacterial SSU rRNA
Rfam family: Bacterial small subunit ribosomal RNA
Source: RNAcentral
GAUGAACGCUGGCGGCGUGCCUAAUACAUGCAAGUCGAGCGAACGGACGAGAAGCUUGCUUCUCUGAUGUUAGCGGCGGACGGGUGAGUAACACGUGGAUAACCUACCUAUAAGACUGGGAUAACUUCGGGAAACCGGAGCUAAUACCGGAUAAUAUUUUGAACCGCAUGGUUCAAAAGUGAAAGACGGUCUUGCUGUCACUUAUAGAUGGAUCCGCGCUGCAUUAGCUAGUUGGUAAGGUAACGGCUUACCAAGGCAACGAUGCAUAGCCGACCUGAGAGGGUGAUCGGCCACACUGGAACUGAGACACGGUCCAGACUCCUACGGGAGGCAGCAGUAGGGAAUCUCCGCAAUGGGCGAAAGCCUGACGGAGCAACGCCGCGUGAGUGAUGAAGGUCUUCGGAUCGUAAAACUCUGUUAUUAGGGAAGAACAUAUGUGUAAGUAACUGUGCACAUCUUGACGGUACCUAAUCAGAAAGCCACGGCUAACUACGUGCCAGCAGCCGCGGUAAUACGUAGGUGGCAAGCGUUAUCCGGAAUUAUUGGGCGUAAAGCGCGCGUAGGCGGUUUUUUAAGUCUGAUGUGAAAGCCCACGGCUCAACCGUGGAGGGUCAUUGGAAACUGGAAAACUUGAGUGCAGAAGAGGAAAGUGGAAUUCCAUGUGUAGCGGUGAAAUGCGCAGAGAUAUGGAGGAACACCAGUGGCGAAGGCGACUUUCUGGUCUGUAACUGACGCUGAUGUGCGAAAGCGUGGGGAUCAAACAGGAUUAGAUACCCUGGUAGUCCACGCCGUAAACGAUGAGUGCUAAGUGUUGGGGGUUUCCGCCCCUUAGUGCUGCAGCUAACGCAUUAAGCACUCCGCCUGGGGAGUACGACCGCAAGGUUGAAACUCAAAGGAAUUGACGGGGACCCGCACAAGCGGUGGAGCAUGUGGUUUAAUUCGAAGCAACGCGAAGAACCUUACCAAAUCUUGACAUCCUUUGACAACUCUAGAGAUAGAGCCUUCCCCUUCGGGGGACAAAGUGACAGGUGGUGCAUGGUUGUCGUCAGCUCGUGUCGUGAGAUGUUGGGUUAAGUCCCGCAACGAGCGCAACCCUUAAGCUUAGUUGCCAUCAUUAAGUUGGGCACUCUAAGUUGACUGCCGGUGACAAACCGGAGGAAGGUGGGGAUGACGUCAAAUCAUCAUGCCCCUUAUGAUUUGGGCUACACACGUGCUACAAUGGACAAUACAAAGGGCAGCGAAACCGCGAGGUCAAGCAAAUCCCAUAAAGUUGUUCUCAGUUCGGAUUGUAGUCUGCAACUCGACUACAUGAAGCUGGAAUCGCUAGUAAUCGUAGAUCAGCAUGCUACGGUGAAUACGUUCCCGGGUCU